AUAUAUUCCCUCUGUAAUUUGACUUUAUUGAUCCGUGCAUCAUACGGACUCAUUUCAAGUAAUUAAAAAACUUCGGCGUAUUAUAAAAAGUACUCCCUCCGUCCCGGAAUACUCAACCCGGUUUGACUGGCACAGAGUUUAAGGGACUUGAAUUGACUUAUUUAAUUUAAUAGAUAGUAGUUGAUAGUGGGGUAUUAUUUUAAUGUAGUUAGUGGGAGGUGGGUUAAGAGGUGGGGUUGGGAGAGAGUAGGGGUUGAAUUUUUAAUUAUUUUUUGUAUGGAGUAGGGGGUAGGUGGGUUAAUAGGGGUGGAGUGAGAAAUAAUAUAAUAUUGUUAGAAUAUUUCCAUUUUUAGAAACAUGUCAAGUAUUAAGGGACGACCCGAUAAGGAAAACAGGUCAAGUAUUCCGGGACGGAGGGAGUAAACAAAUUAAUUCUACAAAAAGGAGUAACCGUUUUUACUUUUGAGAGUUCUAGUUAGGCCCAAAAUCGUUGAACACAAAAAGGAAAAUUAAAAAAAUCCAACUCAUCAACUUUCCGAAACCGCGUCAAAUUUGGAAGACUUAACCGCCUCAACCAGCCUACCCUCUUCUAUAAAUAUAGCCCCCCACCCUCCCUUUCCUCUAUAUCUUCGACCUUCGUAUGGUUUACACUUUCUUGCGUCGUUUAUCUCGUUAUCUUCGUUAAUACCCUACCUGGAUUGUUCAAUUUCAGACUUAUGUUCUUGUGUUUCCCCUAUAGUUAUGGGUUGGUUGGUAGUUUUCCUUUUAAUCCAAUUGCUGAAUAAUUAGGGAUUUGAUUGGAUUUCUGAUUUUCGAAUUCUCCGUAAUAUAUCGGCUGAGUUAUUGAUUGUUGCUACUUUAUAGGCUUCUUUCGGAUUGAUCGGUGUAAUAUUUGCGCAAUUUUUUUGAGACGGAAGCUGUUAAUUCAAUUGCUGAAGAAUUAGGGGUUGUAAUCAAUUUUGAAUUAGGGGUUUAUAUUCAUAUUGAUGUUCUUGCGCUGCUCUAUAAGGUUUCUGGCUGUUUGUUUAAUACGAUUGCUAAAUUAUUAGGGUUUGAUUGUAUUUCUGAAGUUCGAAUUCUCCGAAUUUAUAGGCUGGUUUAUUGAUUGUUGCUGCUUUCUUGGCUUCUUUCCGAUUGAUUGGUGUAAUAUUUGCGCAAUUUUUAAGACGGAGGAUAUUAAUUCAAUUGCUAGGAAUUAAGGGUUUCAAUCAAAUUUGAAUUAGGGGUUUGAAGUAUUAUCGCCGAAUUUCAUAUUUAUAUUCUUGUACUGUUCUACAAGGUUUCUGAUUGGUUGAUAAUUUCUGAUCGGAAGGCUAUUUGUUUAAUUCGGUUGCUGAAUGAUUGAGGUUUGAUUGAAUUUUUGUUCGUGUUAGAUUUUGGUUUUGUUUUGAUGAUUAAGCAGUUGCUUCGCCAAAAGGUUCAGUGUUAGAUUUUGGUUAGAUUUUGAAGAUUAUGCAGUUGCUUCGCCAAAAGGUUCGUGUUAGAAUUUGGUUUGAUUUUUGAUGAGUAUGUAGUUGGUUGUAUGAUCGUUGAUCAAGUAGGCCGAUUGUUGAUAUGCAAUCCUCACAAAGGUUUGUGCUUUAUGAGGAUUUCACAUAGCUGAUAUGCAAUUCUAUUUGUCGGUUUGAAUGCUGUUGUGUUGGUUGUAGUCCCAUAAACUCUAACAGAUUUUCAGGCGUUCCGUUUCUGUUCGCUAUGAUUUUAUCCAAAUCACCUCGUGAUUUUGUGAUGAUGAACAAGUUUGAGGAUUUGGAGAUAAAAAUUUGCUAUGAAAAAUUCAAAUCUUAUAGACGAUGGUAUUAAUUGCUUACGUUUAGAAUCCCUUAUUACCAAAUAAGAGACUGGUGCUGUUUAUUUCAGACUUCAUACUUCUAUUUCUUAAUAAUAUCUGCAGUAUUCGGUUGGCAAUGGAAGUUUCUUUCGAUUCUCCCCUGCUUUGGUAAACUGUAUUAUGGCUUCUGUUUUUCCUUCAAGCGCAUAUGGCGUAUAUAUUCUUGAUAUUUUAUAUUGUAAAUAUUGCUUAAUACCUAGUUUUGAACUGUUUUUAAACGGCAUUUAUCUUCUAAUCAUCAUCAUCUAUUUUCAUCUUUUUGUUCUGUUAUAUAUUUUUCAGUUAUACUUGGCUUAUCUGAUGUUACUUUAACAUAAACUUUUAACAAUUUUUUUUAAGUAAUUCAUAUUUCAUAUUUUCAUUUGAAACAAAAUUGUUUUCUAUCUAAUUUUCUUCUUUGGGUUGGAUUUGGUACAGCAAAAGCACAAGAGGUCGAAAUCCAAAUAAGUUGAUUCCUUACAAAUAGUCAUAUUUUCAAUUGAAACAAAUUUUAUUUUUUAUUUCCUAUUUAUUUUUAGUGUGCUAAGUGCUCUUCUGAUAUUUCCAAGUAUUGCCCAGAGACCUAAGUAUGAGGAUUAAGAGUGGUUGACUACCUCAGAUUCUAUGACAUGCGGAAUUCCUGGAACUAAAUUUUGAGGUCUGAAUUCUCCAAGCGUUGGUUAAUUUAUUGAUUAUUUUUGCUGGACAAUUUGUCUUUGUUUUGUUUUUUCUGCUGCAGUUGCUUCAUGUUGGUUGAAAUACUGGUGAGUAGGUUCUUUGUUGUCUGCGUUCCCUGGGAAUAUUGUUAUUCGCUGAAAGGUUUUUACCCUAGAUGGUUUUGAUCAGCAUAAACAUUUUGAUUUGUUGAUUUGGAGUUUUGUAUAGCUUUUUCCACCUCUAUUGUGGUGCUUGCAGUUCUAAGUCACUUGAAAAUUUUAGGCUUCUGUUUUGUAUUUUCCCCUCCAAGUCUUCUCUUGUGUUUGCCUGUUUCGUGAACAGGUGAUGGGGGUGAUGAUGAGUUAGACAAAGUUCCUCUUGGAAACCAAACUACACAUUAUGGUAUUUAUACUUGAUAGAAAUAAAUAUCUCUUCUAACAUCAGAUGGUGUGGUUGGUGUUUAACAAUAAAUGAUUCAAUUUACAUCACUCAUUCUGAAAUAGGGACUUCGGUGUAGGAAAUUCCAGCCUCCAUGUUGCUGUCCGUUUCCUCCUAUUCCUGUUUUAUCAUGGGAAUUGAAUUUGUAUGUAAGUAACGCAUGCUUGUUCUUCGUGGUGGCGUCAAGUUUCUCUAAUAAUAUUAAUUAUCAAUUUAUCAGUAUAUUGUUCUCCUCCCUAUGUGAUUAGCAGGGUUACUAAGAUCAGUGGUAAUACUUCUCAUGAUUGCUUUCUUGCUUGUGUUGGAGAUAUCAGUAAAUGAUUUCCACUCUCUCUGAGUCAUGUGUGGUAUUGGGUUUCUUUCUCCCAAGGCUUGUGUUAUGUUGGGAAAUUUCAUUUGCUGUUAUUCUUUUUUGGGUCUAUUUCUAGCCUAAGCUUCCAGGUAUGCGUUCUGUUUUUUGCCUAGUGUUGGUAAUGUUUUUUUAUAUUUCUAUUCUUGAUUUGUGGGAUAAUAGCUUUGUGCUCGAGGUGGGGGCGUAGGGAUGUAAGUGUUCUCAUCGAGGUAACCUUUUCUUCAGAACCAAUAUAAUUUGCAGACUACUGACUUGUGAUCUUGUGGCGUACAGCGUACUGUAAGAAUUUUUUAUUGGUGAUUUUUGAAUUUGUUGUUUUCCUAUGGCUUGGCACUUCUUGAUAUGGUACUAGCUGCAAUUGGUGACUGGGGAUGAAAAUUUUUAUGGUUUGUUUCUCUCGCAGACAACAAUAUUUGGUAGUUCUCAUGGUGUGUAAUACUUAGGAUCAACAGUUUGCGGUUAGAAUCUUUUUGUCCUCAGAGACCCCUUCAUCCUUCCAAUCAACAAUAUCUUUUCCCUUUGAAGUCGCAUUUUAUCGACGUGGACAAGGUUUAUCACAUCUAUGGGGUCGAUGAAGUUCCGUUCCUGUUUGUGUUCCCCGAAGAAAGCAACACUUGCUUAAGUCUUGGGGUGCUAAGCGGUGGCAGCUGCAGGGGGCAGGUUUUUCUGAUUCAUGUGUCUUUUCUCCUACAUAAUGUUCUCCCUUUUUCUGUUGGCAAGUGUUGUAAACUUGCGGUUCUUGUGGUAGUUAAGUUAUUGCUAAUUUGUGGUAGGUAGCAUCUCCAUUGUGGUAGCAUGCUUGCUGGAUAAUGAUUGGUUUCUGAUAGUAUUUCAGAGUAAGUAUUGUUUCCUUUAAGGCUUGUGUGAUAGUAUGAGUUCUGUUUCUUAAUAAUUUUUUACUCCGUGGGUGAAUUUCUAGCUACAGCUUCCUGGUAUAUGGUAUGUGUACUUUCCUUUUUCCUUUUGUGGUGAGUGACCGAGUGUUAAUCGUUUAUUCUCUUAUUCCACGGAGCCCUUCAUCUUUCCUUCUAACAUUCCCCCAGACUAAUUUAAGCAGACAUCCUUUAGCCAUGAAUUGUUCUGUAGGUAAACAGACAACUGCUUCUUUAUUGGACUUCGUGUUGAUCAAAGGACAUUAUGUUGAUCCAACUGCUGGGUUACUUGGAGGAACAUUACGGUCUGGUUGGUUUGUGCACUUUCUGCAUGACUCUCUGAUUUAAUUGCUGAUAAAUAUUGGCUUUCUUGGGAGCAAAGUUCUUUCAGUUUGUUGUUUCGACUGUUGUGGCGCUUAACUUUUGCAGAUUUAUGGUGUUCUUUUCCUUCCACUUCCACUUCCAUUCGCUUUUGUGAAGUCAUCUCUUGAUUCAUGAUAAGUGGUUGGUCAUAAUCAAUUAACGAUACAACAUUGGAAUUAAUUGUUAUCAAACUGGGACCGCAUUGUUGUUUGUUUCAUGCUUGUUGCUUAUUUUAUUGAAAAUUUGUUAUCAUGGCAGAAAGGUCAUUUCUAUUUGAUCACUAGACCUGUCUGUGAGGCUGUGACCUAUCUACAGUCUGCACACAAUUAAUUACUUGUGAGCAGUACAUGAUUUUCGCUGAAGGUUGAUAAUAGUUGUUCCUCUAAAUUGAAGGCAAUCUGGUAACUGUCUGAAGCUGAUAUACGUGUAAAAUGAGCAAUUCCCUUGGAUUCUGACGCUGAUGAUAGUUGAAGACUUUAGGAGUUUGGUGACUUAUUGAUUAUUUUUGCUGGAGGAGUUCUUUGUUUUGUUUUCAAUGGUCAUGCAGUUGCUUCUCGGGAGUUGUUUAAUUGGAGAUCAAGUAAGUUGUUAGUUGACUCCGUUGUCCGAUAACGUUAUUUGCAGAAAGGUUUGUGCUAGACGAUUUUGUUCUGCAUAUUUGAUGGAUUUUGGAGUCCUUUCUGAACAGUUGUUUUGACUACUGCUGUUCCUGUAGUUUACUUAAUCUCUUGCAGAUCAGAAUUCAUUUUUGAUUUGGCCUCGUGAAAUUCUCUUGAUUAUGUUUACCGGUUUCAUGAUCAAACGAUGCUGGAUUCCGACAAAGUUCCUCUGGAAACCAAAUGACAUAGGUGACUGUUUUGAUAGGUUGCAAACAGGUUAACAUCUGAUGAUGGUGUAUUUAUCGUUCAAACAACUGAUGAUUUUAAUUCACUCAUUCUCAAUUUGGGGCCUUAAUGUUGUAACUUCAGAUUUUAUACUGGUUCCUUGUUUAUCUGCCUGCAGUGUGUUCUGUUGUUCGUAAUCUUCUCCUCCUUUUUGAUCGUGGACCUUUUGCAGCAAUAGGAUAUUGAUACAUCUGAUGCAAUGUAAGCUUGUGAUUUGGGAUGGGUGUUGUGAGUUGUUCUCUUUUCAUUUUUCUGAUUAGUUACUUUCAAAAACCAAAUUACACGGGCAAUGGUGUACAAUAUUGAUGUUAGAAUUUGCAGUCUAUUGACUCUAUUCACUCUUCAGUUGAGGUUUUACUCAUUCUCAAUCUCUUGAGUUUCUUGCUUUAUUUGGAUUCUGGAUUUUCACAAUUGGAUUCUUAUGGUGUUUGGUUACGUUCUCCUAGGCUUUUGCUGGAAUUUAUUUUCUUCAUUAUAAUAUCUUUUUUUGUCAAUUUUGUAGCUGGUGGCUAGUAUUGAUCAUUCCUUUUUACAGUUUAUAUUCUGAAGAUUUUUACUCAUCUUGUAUGGAGAUAUCUUGUGCUUCAAUGACUUUGAAUCAUAUGGGUCUUAUUAGAGUUGGUAGUACAAGGAUCUUGAUAAGAGUUGUCUAGAAGUGUAGAUGCAGUUUCCCAUCCUGUCCUUAAUCCUGAAAUCUGGGUCUUAUUAGGUUUGCUUGCGUCAUAAAGUGUUGGUGCUUGGAAACGUAUGGAUGUUGGUGGCUCAUGAUAUGUUGUGGCUGUCUUAUAAUUUUUGCUGGUUAAUUUGGCUUCGAUUGGUUUGGAAUUGAUGUGUGGUGGUUGCUUGGAGACUGGAUUUCAGAAACUUUUAUGGUUUGUUUUUAUUGCAGAACUAUUAAACUUUAUGGUUCUAGUUCUUUUACACAAAAUAAAAUCAAAAUGUGAACAUCCUUAGUCUAUCUUAUUUUGUAGGUAUACAACCAGUUGUUUCUGCAUUUGACAUCAUUCGAUCAAAAUGGUUAGUUAUGCAUCAAGAUCUAUUACAUGAUUUUAUUUUUUUUAGAAAAAUAAAUGAUUCUGGUAUUAGAAUAUUCCCUUUAUGCUUCUCAUAGAAUGUGUAUCUUGCUGUUGAUGUUCCUUACGGAACUUGUGGGAUGAAAAGCAUUUAGCACGCCAAUGCUCUUAAUUCUUUACGUCUAAAGGGUGUGGGGUACUCGAGUUUUAAUGCACUGGGUUAGAUGAAGUGGCAUCUCUUUCUCUUCUUUUUUUCUUUUCUUUUACCCUAAUAAACCCUUGGAGCCAUUUUAUGUACGCCGCUUCUGCUAUGGUGCUUGACUCUUGCAGCUAGUUUCUGUUUCUAAGAGCCUUUAGGACUUCAGGUAUGGAGCUCGGGUUUCGAUGAUGCUUUGGUUCUUGCUCUUCCUCUCCCUCCCCUCUUCUCUUGGUUGUAGAGAAUGUAAGUGAGCUAUUGAGCUUUGACUGGUAAAAGAUCGUCCCAAGCUCUUUGCAAGGUUGAGUUUCUCACUCUCUUUCAGUUUAUCCCACAAUUUGGUUUUAGGGAUUAAUCUACUUCUGUUCUCUUGGCUCCAGUGAAUGAAGCAGAUAUUAUUGGCUCUGUUCUUACCAACAUUUUGAUUUGUUCAGGAUUGGUAAUUGGUACUUGAAGUGAUUUGUGGUAUGAGGUUUGAGUUUUGUUGUUGCAUCUUUUAGUUUCUGACAUGUGCGUAAGAAGUAGAUUAUGUUUCUAGAAUUGUUGUAUCUUGACAACGAUCAUUUAUGACGAAGUGGGUAGGUUUUCAAGAAAAUGUUUUAUUUUGGGUUUUACAGUUCUGUGAGCCCUCAGAGAUUUUUUAUUUAUUUUUGGGUGUACUGCUCUGUGUGCCUUCAUGUGUGACUUUUGGUUGAUGAGUGUGACAUUAGUAGUUUUUAUGAUAUGUUGUCUCCGAAUGGUGGAACUUUGAAUUCAUGGACUAUCUUCCGCUGAUGUAAAAUAACUUUUGUGUCCUUCACUUACGAAAUUUGUGUACCAUGCGUAGCUUGGUCUUCAACAUGCCCAUCUAUAAAACUCCGACCUUCAUUAUGAUAAAUUAAUUUGAUUUUGUGAUUCCUGAAGCUCCUCCUACUUCUUGGCUUUUUGUACGUCAUCCCUCUUAACUUCAGGAGUUCAACUGUUCCAUGGUUAAGAUUUUGUGGAUUUUCAUGGUUCCAAGAGUGUAUCUUCAGAAGUCUUCUGUCCGUUGCGACUUGCUAGGUGAAAUUGCUCUUGGUUUGUUGUUGGCUUCUCUUCCUGAAUCAUUUCAUGACUUCUUGCUCUCAAAAUUGAGCUAUUGGUGCACUUUGAUGUUUUGACAUGGCUUGCGUGUGGGGAUUUUUCUAACAUUUUUGACGGUGAUUUUUUGUACAUUUGCACACCAGACCUGCAGAGAGUGUAGUUGGUUAUUUUUUCACAGAUUUUGUACUCUUUUUCCUCCAAAAUUUUUUUCUUUUAUAUCUUGUGAAUUUGUAUUUCAGUAAAGCAGUUUAUUGCUGACUUCACAAUCUGUUGCUUACAUGAUUUAUAAAGGUGGAAUCUCCGUUUCCUGGAGUAAUCUGGAAUCUCAAGAUAAUCCUACAUUUCGGGUUACCAGGCUUUCACUUUGGCAUGUCAUCAGAAUGUGUUCUCUUUCUUCUUGAGUUAUUUGGUAGCAUUUGCUGUUGAUUUUCUCUGCUCGGGCGAUUUUUUAUUGGGAAUUGGUGUGUUGCUUGUAAUAUUUCUGCUUAUUCCAGUGGGAGUCCUCCGUGCCCUGUACAAGUGUCAGCAUUGCUCAGUUAUAUGCCAACAUUUGCUUGUGUAGUGAUCUCCAAUGCAUGAGGUUAAUUGUCUGGAAAAUUACGCUGGGUGAAGUGGUCUCAGGUUAUAUGGUUUUUGGAUAUCAGGGAUAAGUUCCAAUGGUUUGGGAUGUUAGGGAGAUGUUCUAUUGUUUUUGGGGCUUUAAUGAUUCCAUGUUUUCAAUGCAGAUAUGUUAUCUUUUGGUUCUGGUGUAAGAUGUGGUAGAUACACAUGGUUUUGGGACAGUGGUAAUUGGUAUUUGGGCUUUCUUCUGUGUUUUAUGUUAUGGGAUACAGAGAAAAAUUGAUGUGGGUUAUGUCUUGUGGAUGUUGAUAUGAGACUAUGAGAGUGGUGGUAUGGAGAUUUAUUGCUUUUGAAAGAGAGAAGAGCUGCAAUCUGUCACAUGUUUACACAGCUUGUACGCCUAGAUUAUGCCAUUAGUUGGAGUUUUUAAUGGGCAUUUGGUUUUGGGCUAUGUAUUCUUCAAGUUAUAUAUUUUCCUUUUUGUACUCCUUUUCCUUUUUUUAUUUUAAUUGUUAGUUUGACAGCUGUGACAGUAGCUUCUGCUGAUGCAAAAUACUAUUUAAACAUGCACAAUAGGGAGACUAAGUGGUCUGCUGUAUGGGGGAGUUUCUGAUUUACUUCGUCUCUGAUGUUCUGAUAUGACUCUCCUGAUAUAGAUCUAUGAAUAUGCCUCAGGUCGUGUCAAGAUUUGUGAUUAAGGUUUUUAUGCGAUUUUCUGUAUUGCAUUGCUCUUCGGUUUUCUGUUUGACAUCGCCUAUGAUUUUUAGGAUGUGGUUGUCCUGGGAACCAUGUUGACUGGCCUUAGUUUGUGAGAUAGUGAGCUCUGGUGUGAUAGUUUGGGACCAUGUCUACUGGCCUUAGUUUUUAAGGUAGUGAGCUCUGGUGUGAUAGUCUGGGAACCAUGUCUAGUGGCAAUGUUUUUAAGGUUUUGACUACUAGUGACUCGGAUUGGUAAACGAUUUGGUGAGUACUAGACUACUAGUUCAGCAGGGCAGAGGACACUGAUUUUCAUGUAACAUCUGUUGUAUUUUAUCUAGAUUGGUUUGUUUUAUUCAUGUAUUACAUUGAGGUUAUAUAUAAGGCUACAGGCCCUGUUUGUUUGGUGGCAUUUUUUGUUUUUUUAUUUUAUUUCGGUGUUUAUUUCAGCAAUUUUGUUAUAUUUAUUAAAUAUUGUAUAUAUAGUAGACAUGUAUUCUGCCCAUUCAUUUGAUCAUCCAUGUAACAUUUACUUCCAUAUAACAUGUAUUCUGCUCAUCCAUAUAAAGUAUAUAUUUCUUCUGUA
Spinacia oleracea (spinach) is the source of this 9490-nucleotide long non-coding RNA. RefSeq lists it as uncharacterized. The transcript is spliced from 2 exons. NCBI's taxonomy places the organism in Eukaryota, Viridiplantae, Streptophyta, Magnoliopsida, Caryophyllales, Amaranthaceae. The record is from RefSeq and is a predicted model, not a curated record.